This 431-nucleotide ribosomal RNA is filed under the name uncultured rumen bacterium. RNAcentral describes it as "bacterial SSU rRNA". It matches the Rfam family "Bacterial small subunit ribosomal RNA", at positions 354 to 776 of the family's 1533-position model. The record is from RNAcentral.
GCUAAGAAUAUUCCGCAAUGGACGAAAGUCUGACGGAGCGACGCCGCGUGGAUGAUGAAGGCCGGAAGGUUGUAAAAUCCUUUUAGGUGUGAGGAAUAAGGAGGAUGAGAGAAACGUCCUCUGGUGACGGUAGCACCUGAAUAAGCAACGGCUAAUUACGUGCCAGCAGCCGCGGUAACACGUAAGUUGCGAGCGUUGUUCGGAAUUAUUGGGCGUAAAGGGUAUGUAGGCGGUUCUGCAAGUCUGGUGUGAAAUGCCGGGGCUCAACCCCGGAACUGCGUUGGAAACUGCAGGACUUGAAUCGCUGAGGGGCAGCCAGAAUUCCAGGUGUAGGGGUGAAAUCUGUAGAUAUCUGGAAGAAUACCAAUGGCGAAGGCAGGCUGCCAGCAGAUGAUUGACGCUGAGGUACGAAGGUGCGGGGAGCAAACAGG